GAUGAACGCUGGCGGCGUGCUUAACACAUGCAAGUCGAACGAAGCACUUUAUUUGAUUUCCUUCGGGACUGAUUAUUUUGUGACUGAGUGGCGGACGGGUGAGUAACGCGUGGGUAACCUGCCUUGUACAGGGGGAUAACAGUUGGAAACGGCUGCUAAUACCGCAUAAGCGCACGGCAUCGCAUGAUGCAGUGUGAAAAACUCCGGUGGUAUAAGAUGGACCCGCGUUGGAUUAGCUAGUUGGUGAGGUAACGGCCCACCAAGGCGACGAUCCAUAGCCGACCUGAGAGGGUGACCGGCCACAUUGGGACUGAGACACGGCCCAAACUCCUACGGGAGGCAGCAGUGGGGAAUAUUGCACAAUGGGCGAAAGCCUGAUGCAGGGACGCCGCGUGAGCGAAGAAGUAUUUCGGUAUGUAAAGCUCUAUCAGCAGGGAAGAUAAUGACGGUACCUGACUAAGAAGCACCGGCUAAAUACGUG
This 481-nucleotide ribosomal RNA is filed under the name uncultured bacterium. RNAcentral's name for it is "partial 16S ribosomal RNA". It matches the Rfam family "Bacterial small subunit ribosomal RNA", at positions 28 to 507 of the family's 1533-position model. The record is from RNAcentral.